Molecule: unclassified non-coding RNA, 300 nt
Filed under: fungal sp.
Lineage: Eukaryota; Fungi
Description: partial internal transcribed spacer region
Rfam family: Eukaryotic small subunit ribosomal RNA (bases 1-46)
Source: RNAcentral
AAGUCGUAACAAGGUUUCCGUAGGUGAACCUGCGGAAGGAUCAUUAACACAAAAGUCCAUUUGAUGGUUGAACGUAUUGUAAUGUCAUUUUUGACCUUAUGAAUACACAAUCAUUCAAACCUAAUUAGAAAAUAAGUUGAAGUUCUCAACAAGUUUUUUCAAACUUUGUAGAGAGUGGAUAUUUUAAAAUGAUUAUCAAGUUAAAGAAUGAAGAUAAAAAUUCAUUUUUAAGACUGAUGUUUAAAAGAAUUAUAUUUAUAAACCAAGACAACUUGUAACAGUGGAUACCUUGGUUCCCAG